This 403-nucleotide ribosomal RNA is filed under the name uncultured bacterium. Its description in RNAcentral is "partial 16S ribosomal RNA". It matches the Rfam family "Bacterial small subunit ribosomal RNA", at positions 30 to 526 of the family's 1533-position model. The record is from RNAcentral.
AUUGAACGCUGGCGGCAGGCCUAACACAUGCAAGUCGAGCGAGCGGCGUGCGGGUGAGUAAUGUAUGGGGACUUCCCGUUCGCGGGGGAUAACUAUUGGACACGGUAGCUAAUACCGCUUACUAUCGGAUAACCCAUAUGGGAUUAGCUCGUAGGUGAUGUAAUGGCGCACCUAGGCGACGAUCCCUGGCUGGGCUGAGAGGAUGAGCAGCGACACUGGGACUGAGACACGGACGAGACUGCUACGGAGGCAGCAGUGGGGAAUAUUGCAGAAUGUGCGCAAGCCGGAUGCACCCAUGCCGCGGGUGUGAAGAAGGCCAUAGGGUGGUAAAGUACGUUCAGUCGGGAGGCGUUACCGACAGAAGAAGCACCGGCUAACUCCGUGCCAGCAGCCGCGGUAAUAC